AGGUUGCUCACCAGGACGAUAUGGAUUUGCAUGUGAAGAAGAGUGCCCAAAAUGUAGAGCUAAUGAACGCUGUAACAUGUUGACUGGUUUCUGUGAUGAAAAUACCAGAUGCAGAGACACAACUACUAUACAGACUUGUGCAGAAACAACAUUGAGUGAGAGAUGUCCUGACAUGAAUAAAUGGCGUUAUUGGAAUAGGCAUUGUUACUAUUUUGUAAGCAGAGCUGAUGCAGAAAAAACAUGGGAAGAAGCAAAUAUUUCCUGCAGUCGGUUUAGAUCUGCUGAACUUCUGUGGAUUGAAGAUCCAGAUGAUCUGAAAUGGAUACAAAAGUUUUUUCGAAAGAAUACAUGGCUAGGACUACAGGACAUAGACUAUGACAAUACUUGGACUUGGUCACAUGGAGACAAUGCAUCAAGGACAUUGGCAUGGUUUGUACAGUUUGAAAUGUCCCCUGGGUGAUGGAUGGUGGUACUGGCAAAGAAACUGUUACUUAAUAGAAAAAAACAGAAAAGUGACAUGGAAUGAGGCACAAAAGCUGUGUAGACAUUUUAGAGGCACAAGGCUGCUUCACCUAGAAGAUGCUAAUGAAAAGAAGUGGUUAAAAGAAAUGAUAACUGGACAACUGUGGGUAGGAAUCAAAUGGAAUACAGAGACAGGAGAAUGGCGAUGGUCUGAUGGAAAAAAAGUAAACACUAAAAUACCAUGGCUAAAUAUAGAAGGGGGCACACAAGAAAGCUGUGUCACAAUUUGCAAAAAUGAGUCACUACUGCGAUCAGCAAAGUGUAACGAAAAACUUUAUUUCAUUUGUAAAAGACCAGAACAUUUGAACAUAUUCCAGAAAUACCCAGGCUUCAUAAUACCACAAAAGCAAAACACAUUACCCAAAGUUUAUUAUACUUUCAAUGCUGCUCAGGAAGACUGCAUUUUUGAGAAAACUAUCUGUACUGGUAUAGUCUUGUCAGGAGGACAGUACAUUUUGGUUAGUGGAAAGGAAGUAUUUAAAAGCCUUGAAGAACAAAGUGUAUUGUAUCUGAAGUCUAGUAAGUAGCUUAAAAUAACUGUUACAUUGUUCUUUUUUCUAUGUCUAAUGUCCCUGUUCUCUGAAUUCAUGUUAUGAAAAUCAACGUCUAUAAAAGGAGAUAAUUGCAAACAAAAGAACCUGUGAAGGAAUUUGGAAGAGAAAAUUAAGAAUGCUGUAUUUCUCCCAAAUACUUGAUGCCUGUUUAAAACCACAGCAGUAGAAGUACAUUUUUAUAUCAUGUUUCCAAUUAAGUUUCCCAUGGUGGUUCACAGUAAAAUAUCACCUUCUUAGCAAAACCU
Molecule: long non-coding RNA, 1321 nt
Filed under: Salvator merianae (Argentine black and white tegu)
Lineage: Eukaryota; Metazoa; Chordata; Lepidosauria; Squamata; Teiidae
Description: lncRNA (ENSSMRG00000018055.1)
Source: RNAcentral